UCCCUGGUGGCUCAGAUGGUAAAGCGUCUGCCUAUAAUGAGAGAGACCCAGGUUCGAUCCCUGGGUGGGGAA
This 72-nucleotide transfer RNA is filed under the name Bos taurus (domestic cattle). It matches the Rfam family "tRNA". From Rfam's summary of the family: Transfer RNA (tRNA) molecules are approximately 80 nucleotides in length. Lineage: Eukaryota; Metazoa; Chordata; Mammalia; Artiodactyla; Bovidae. The record is from Rfam by way of RNAcentral. RNAcentral also lists the same sequence under 5 other names.